AACUGAAUCAUGGGGGCGGGUUUUUCGUAUGCUCUUCUCGUGAUAGUAAGUCUCACGAGUUCGUUAUAAAAGGCAGUUCCCCUGCACAUGCUCUCUUGCCUGCUGUCAUGCAACGUGUCUUUGCUCCUCCUUCACCUUCCGCCAUGAUUGUGAGGCUUCCCCAGCCAUGUGGAAACAUAUUCGCAGAGCACCCACUAGGUGCCAGUAAAUGUAUGAGAAGUCCUGUGGAAUAAGACUGAAGUUGUCCUUGCCUUCAAGCAACUUGCAAUUGCCUAAGAACACAGUUUAAAACCACAAAACUAAGCCUUGGAAAUCACAUGCUGUCAUUUCUGCGAUCGGUCAUAACCAGUCCUGAUUCCAUGUUAGAGGAGACUACAUAAGGACACAGGUACCAGAAGAUGAAAAAUUUGGAGUCUAGUGAAAAGAAGUGACUUGCUCAAAAUCACACAGCACAUGAAGAACAGAGCCUCUAUGAUGAAUUUCUUGACAGCUGAUAUAAGUCUUUUGAGGUACAGCCUGGCACAAAAAGGAUGAGAUUUGUGGGCAGAAUUUUGGAAGAAUAUCUCCCGAGAGAACAUUCAGGACAGAGCCCUACAUCUCCCCGAGAAGAGGUGAAAGAGACUGCUCCUAUCUGCUUCUGCAUCAAACUUCAGGCUCAAGACCUGUCCAGAAAAAAAAAUGUCUUCUUUCAGGGAUGAACUGCUGUCCUCAUCAGACGCCUUAUUUUGUUUAGAAUUCAAGCUCACUUGACAGGUUAUUGUGAAGAUUAAAUGAAUUAAUACAUGUGAAGCAACUGUAACAACUCUUGACAUGCGGUAAGCACUGUAAAUUGUGAACCAUUUAGGAAUGCCCCAUUGGAGAUAAUUUAGGUCACUCAGAAAUUGUAAAUUUUGAAAGGUGAAAGACCGUGUUGUUCAAGUUAGGGCUGAACUGGAACUGUAAAUCUGAUGGUUGAAUAAUAAACAGAGUAAUUA
Molecule: long non-coding RNA, 974 nt
Filed under: Homo sapiens (human)
Lineage: Eukaryota; Metazoa; Chordata; Mammalia; Primates; Hominidae
Description: HSALNT0070067
Source: RNAcentral